This 253-nucleotide ribosomal RNA is filed under the name uncultured bacterium. Its description in RNAcentral is "partial 16S ribosomal RNA". It matches the Rfam family "Bacterial small subunit ribosomal RNA", at positions 524 to 776 of the family's 1533-position model. The record is from RNAcentral.
UACGUAGGUGGCAAGCGUUGUCCGGAUUUACUGGGCGUAAAGAGCGCGCAGGCGGUCGUUCAAGUCGCGUGUGAAAGCCCCCGGCUCAACUGGGGAGGGUCACGCGAUACUGAUCGACUCGAAGGCAGGAGAGGGUAGUGGAAUUCCCGGUGUAGUGGUGAAAUGCGUAGAUAUCGGGAGGAACACCAGUGGCGAAGGCGACUACCUGGCCUGUUCUUGACGCUGAGGCGCGAAAGCUAGGGUAGCAAACGGG